UCUCUGUUCCAGUAUCUGCUGAAGCUGGUGGACGAAAGGUUCUGGGGACCUUCGGUGCUGUUUGUGGACAACACAGAUUAUGUCCCUGAAAACAUAGCCCUGAUCUGCGACGAAGUGAAGCACUUCAACAUAAUGCCCGUUUAUGGACUCAACGUACACAGCAUGUUGAAGCACGACACACUCGUUCUGACUCUCUCUGCUGUCGAGGAAAUCGAGAACAAGCUCCUCUACCAGCUUCAUAGAAUUGACGGCAAAGAGGUCGCGCAGCGAGACUACAGAAGGCCCUACCUGUAAAUCGUCCCCCAUCCGCUAACAGUUUUCAUUAUAGUCGCUGAGCAAACGAACCCAGACAUUUGUACGAAUAAACGUACGUGUUUCACACU
This is a long non-coding RNA of Rhipicephalus microplus (southern cattle tick), 383 nucleotides long. Lineage: Eukaryota; Metazoa; Arthropoda; Arachnida; Ixodida; Ixodidae. The record is from RefSeq and is a predicted model, not a curated record.